CACUCUGCCUCUCUCGUCCAGAUAGACGCAGCGCCCGUUUCCACAAACCCUAACCGAAGCUCCCCGGUGGGAAGGGACAUGAAUACGGAAGGUCUAAGCAGCAUCUGCUCCGGUCUCGGAAUAGCGGAUGAGGACGACAAUGGGAAUGUGAAAGGCUACACGAAGACCGAAUACUGUCUAGAUAAUUUGAAGGAUCUGCAGAGGUUUCUGCGGAGGGAUGAUCCGCAGCGGAGGGAUGUUUUCAAGCAGACAUGCAGAUGGAAUACGGUGUCACGCGAUCUUGUUCCAAUUAUCGAGCAUUACCAAAGCGAUAAGAAUUUGGUAAUUAGCGCAGUGAAGAUUUUGGUGUUCCUUACGAUGCCAGUUGACUCUGCAUCCGAGGAUGUGGCGUUACAGAUUGAAUAUCUGUGGGAAUUGAAGGCUGCGCUGACCCGCGAAGUCGCGAUGGCUGUUAUAGUUUCUAUAUUGGAAGAACCAUUGGGUAAUUUGGAAAGCGGCACAUUUACAGAGGAUGAUUGGAAGUUAGUUCAACUUGUGCUUACAUUGUUUCGCAACAUUCUUGCCAUCCAAGACAUUACAGCACAGCAGAAGGCAUCAGGACACGCCACACAAUUUUUCCAUUUGACAGAUCGGUUUUUGGAAAUCAUGUUCCAGGAAAAUACGAUGGAACUUAUUUUAGUUUUGGCACAGCAUAUUGAUGACCCUAAUGGUUUUCUUCGUCAAGACAAUUUGCUUUUACUUGAGAUUUUUCACUAUAUUCUGCUUGGAAGAGAACCAGAAUUGGUUGCAAAAGCUUUCACCAUUAAGUCCAAGGCUAAUGCAGGUAGUGCUACUUCAGAUUCUCUUAGAUCAAUAAUAAAGGCAGAAGAUGAAAAGAGAAAGUUAAUUAAACAAAGGAAUGCUGAAUGCCAUCAACAGUUCAGUGGAACAUUUACUCGGUUAGCCAUGGAUGGUUCAAAAAUGUUAUUCAAUGAUCCCGCUUCGGCAUCAACAAAUGGCUUAGCUAAAGUUCGUAAGGUUCAACGAGGCCCGAUGAAAAAAGUUGCCUCUGAAAAUCGAGUUUUGUCUCUACAAGAGGAAAACAUUCUCGGGCUACUACACAAUUUCUUAAAUCAAUUCUUACAUGGUGGCUAUAAUGUUCUAAUGCAGACAAUCCGGGAUGAUAUUAUAAAAGAACAACAAGAAAUCCAGAAGAGUGACAUUAUUACGUAUUUUCAAGUCAUCCGCUUUAUUACAGCUUUUCAUCAUAAAAAGAUUUUAACGAAGAGGCAAAAUAUGGAGAAUAUGGAAGAAAAUUUUUCUAUCAACAGUCAAUCUGUGGACUACCUUUCAUUGCAUGAGGACUUAUGUGGACCAAUUGCAGCAACUAUGAAUGAAGCAAUGUUCUUUUUAGUCAUAUCUAAAUGGCGCGAGGCUUCUGAUGGUGUGAAGAUAACUAAUGAUUACAAGUUUCUUACUGCUGCUGGAUCUCUUAUGAAGAACAUGGUUCGUGUGCUAGAUUUGGUGAUGAAAUUGCUGCCUGUAGAUUCGAAGGAGUGUCAAACAGCUCGUGUGCUGUUGUAUAAAUUAUUCUAUGAUCAGACUGAUGAGGGGCUUACACAGUUCCUUAUGAACCGUUUCAAAUGUUUUGAUUCUCAUAAACAACCUAGAAGUGAUCUUGCAGAUCUAUUGGAAAUCAUACAUAUUAUGUUACGACUUAUGGAGAAACUUCAGGCUCAUGGCACUUUAAGGGUAUCUAAGAAAUUUCGGAGAAGAAAGGUUAGAAACAAGUCUUCAAAGGACAAGACCGAAGCUGAACCAGAAUUCAUAAGAGAACCAGAAAUUGCCCAUGAACAUGUGGAACAUAUCUCUGAAAUGUGUAUAGACCCUGCCAAUUCAGUCAAGGAGAAACAUUCAGAGUUAAAUUCUAUUGAGGGGAAAUUAGAAAUAGACCAAGAAGGCAUCAUGAACUUUAACCCAGCAGCUGUGCUGGAUGAUGAAGAAAAUGAGAAACCAGCAGAUCAGGAAUAUGAAACAAGCAGUUCUUCAAACACCGAGGAGGCUGCAACCAAUGAAGUUAAUUUUAGUGUCUCAGCAUUAGUUUCUAAUUUUGCAAGUAACACUAUUAUCCAUAAUUUAUGCUGGUUGUUGAAGUAUUAUAAAGCCAAUUCUGCAAGCACUAACCACUAUAUCUUAUGCAUGCUGAAUCGGUUCUGUGAGGAUUUGGAGCUUUCCCCCAUGCUUUAUCAGUUAUCUCUACUCACUAUAUUUUAUGAUAUCUUAGCUGAGCAAAAUAAGUGUAAAUCAAAGGACUACAUGAACAUCAUAAAUUUUCUUACCAAGUUUUUAAGAAAGAUGUUUAAGAUAAUGAGAAGUCAGCCUUUGCUUUUUGUUGAAAUACUCUUUUGGAAGACACGUAGAGAAUGUCAGUUUUUCAAUGCCGAAGUUCUCAUGGAAAGCAUUGGCAACCUGAGAAAAGAUUUAAGAAAAAUGGUUGGUGACUCAAAUGUUGGAUUUAGUCGACAUGGUGAUAUGGGCUAUAGAAGCAUAGCAGAUGCUCUGGGUGAUGAUGAGAUUGACUUAGAUCUUCCUCCAAUUCACCAUGAUCAAAUGGCGGGACAUUCGUCUGAUUCCGUUGAAGGUAAUUCUGAUAGAAUCAAGGGAAGUCAAGUGCAAAAGAGAAGCGAGGCUUCUGCCUCAGAAAAUGAGACGAACAUGAAUAGAAGUGAAAUCACACCUUCCAGUCCACAAAUUGAGGUUGCUUCGAGAAGUAGAAGAAAGCGAGUACGCGCCUUCAACAAAGAAGAGGAGCUUCAGAUCACAAUCCUAUAUGAAAAGUUCAAAGAUCAUAAAAAGCGGAAUGUCAUGAUUGCUAAUGCUCUGAACCCUGACCAAAAAUUCACUGCGGCCCAAGUUUCCCGCAAGCUUAAAGAACUUGGCUUAUUACCUCAUAAAAAGAGCUCAUCGGUGUCGGGAAAACACAACAAUGGGAAUGAAAUCAGUGAAGUAAAAGAUAACUCUGAUGAGGAAACGUUGCUAGCAUUUAGAGAGAGAAGUAAUAAAAAGAAACGUGUGCCAGGAAUGCAUGCUAUCACAAUGACUAGUUCAUCGCUGCAGCAAGCAGCUCUUCGAGAAAAUGAUUCCGAUGAUAUGGUUUUGAGUUCCUUCUUAACAAAUACAUCAGCCAAACGCAAACCAAAACCAUCUGUAGCAGAUCAAGAUGUUCCAGAAGCAACUGAUUCUGAAACUUGGGCCAUGAAUAACACUCCAAUUGAACUUGAUAGAGGAAAGCAUAUCCAACUUGGUGAAAUCUCUGCUUCAAACCAAGAUAUGCAGGUUGUACAUUCUGAACUAGAGGAUUCCAUGGAUUCUGCUGAUGAUAUGGGUCCUGUGGUUCCCAGAAAAAUGAAAAGAAUGAUACUUGACUUUGAAGAAGAUGAUGAUGAUUGAACUAUAGAAACCCUAGAGGUUGGUUAAGAUUAUUUUGUGAGGCUUCAAGGGGCUGUAUGGUAACGGAUUUCAGUAAGAUUUAAGCUAAAUGUUGCUAGAGAUUAAUAAAAAAAUGGGAGGCGCUCCGUAUCGCAUACAAGUGCGUUAAUGAUGCACAUUAAACCACUAAUAAUGUAUUCUUCUUUGUGGAACAAGCAUUGAAUGAGAGAAAUGUGAGGAUGAGCUGGUUGGCUUGUCUUUUAAGGCAAGUUAGUAAUGUACUUCAAUGAAUUUGCACCCACUUUUAAUGAUAUCAUCAAG
Molecule: RNA transcript, 3729 nt
Organism: Phalaenopsis equestris
Lineage: Eukaryota; Viridiplantae; Streptophyta; Magnoliopsida; Asparagales; Orchidaceae
Gene name: protein timeless homolog
Exons: 19
Source: RefSeq, a predicted model, not a curated record